Molecule: ribosomal RNA, 524 nt
Filed under: Fusarium solani
Lineage: Eukaryota; Fungi; Ascomycota; Sordariomycetes; Hypocreales; Nectriaceae
Description: eukaryotic LSU rRNA
Rfam family: 5.8S ribosomal RNA (bases 139-292)
Source: RNAcentral
CCACUCAUCACCCUGUGACAUACCUAAAACGUUGCUUCGGCGGGAACAGACGGCCCUGUAACAACGGGCCGCCCCCGCCAGAGGACCCCUAACUCUGUUUUUAUAAUGUUUUUCUGAGUAAACAAGCAAAUAAAUUAAAACUUUCAACAACGGAUCUCUUGGCUCUGGCAUCGAUGAAGAACGCAGCGAAAUGCGAUAAGUAAUGUGAAUUGCAGAAUUCAGUGAAUCAUCGAAUCUUUGAACGCACAUUGCGCCCGCCAGUAUUCUGGCGGGCAUGCCUGUUCGAGCGUCAUUACAACCCUCAGGCCCCCGGGCCUGGCGUUGGGGAUCGGCGGAAGCCCCCUGUGGGCACACGCCGUCCCUCAAAUACAGUGGCGGUCCCGCCGCAGCUUCCAUUGCGUAGUAGCUAACACCUCGCAACUGGAGAGCGGCGCGGCCAUGCCGUAAAACACCCAACUUCUGAAUGUUGACCUCGAAUCAGGUAGGAAUACCCGCUGAACUUAAGCAUAUCAAUAAGCGGAGGA